UACAGAGGUCUCAAGCGUUGUUCGGAUUCAUUGGGCGUAAAGGGUGCGUAGGCGGCGCGGUAAGUCGGGUGUGAAAUCUCGGGGCUUAACUCCGAAACUGCAUUCGAUACUGCCGUGCUUGAGGACUGGAGAGGAGACUGGAAUUUACGGCGUAGCGGUGAAAUGCGUAGAUAUCAGGAGGAACACCGAUGGCGAAGGCAGGUCUCUGGGCCGGUACUGACGCUGAGACGCGAAAGCGUGGGGAGCAAACAGG
Molecule: ribosomal RNA, 253 nt
Filed under: uncultured bacterium
Lineage: Bacteria
Description: partial 16S ribosomal RNA
Rfam family: Bacterial small subunit ribosomal RNA
Source: RNAcentral